GACGAACGCUGGCGGCGUGCUUAACACAUGCAAGUCGAACGGAAAGGCCCUGCUUUUGUGGGUUUCUCGAGUGGCGAACACGUGAGUAACACGUGAGUAACCUCCCCUUGGCUUUGGGAUAACUUCAUUAAACUGGAUCUAAUACCGGAUAUGAGCUCCUGCGGCAUGUUGGGUGUAUGAAAGUGUCGGUGUUUGGGGAUGGACUCGAGGCUUAGCAGCUUGUUGGUGGGGUAGUGGCUUACAAAGGCUUUGACGGGUAGCCGGACUGAGAGGGUGACCGGCCACAGUGGGACUGAGAAACGGCCCAGACUGCUACGGGAGGCAGCAGUGGGGAAUAUUGCGAGAUGGGCGGAAGCCUGAUGCAGCAACGCCGCGUGCGGGAUGACGGCUUUCGGGUUGUAAACCGCUUUCGACUGUGAAGAAGAGUGAGUGACGGUAAUGGGUAAAGAAGCAACGGCUAACUACGUG
This 468-nucleotide ribosomal RNA is filed under the name uncultured bacterium. Its description in RNAcentral is "partial 16S ribosomal RNA". It matches the Rfam family "Bacterial small subunit ribosomal RNA", at positions 28 to 507 of the family's 1533-position model. The record is from RNAcentral.